This 253-nucleotide ribosomal RNA is filed under the name uncultured bacterium. RNAcentral's name for it is "partial 16S ribosomal RNA". It matches the Rfam family "Bacterial small subunit ribosomal RNA", at positions 524 to 776 of the family's 1533-position model. The record is from RNAcentral.
GACGUAGGGCGCGAGCGUUGUCCGGAUUUAUUGGGCGUAAAGAGCUCGUAGGCGGCUCGCUGCGUCGGCUGUGAAAACCCGCAGCUCAACUGUGGGCUUGCAGCUGAUACGGGCGGGCUGGAGUUCGGUAGGGGAGACUGGAAUUCCUGGUGUAGCGGUGAAAUGCGCAGAUAUCAGGAGGAACACCGGUGGCGAAGGCGGGUCUCUGGGCCGAUACUGACGCUGAGGAGCGAAAGCGUGGGGAGCGAACAGG